UUUUUUCCACAGGAUGAGCUUCCUCUUGCAUAUCUUUUUUUUCCACAGGAUGCCAAUGAAUCCUAUCCUACAAUCAUAGAAAGAUGCAGAUUCAUCUAGACAGCUUUUGAUUUCCUCCCUAGCAGUAGUUUUGAGGUCCUCUGUGUAGCCAUCGCCCCGCCAGAACUGCGUUUGGUGAUUCAGCCUGCUCCCAUUCUGUCAGUCCGUGCGCAUUGGACAGACUUGCCGUCCAUCUCUGAUAUUUGCAGUAGUGGAAGCUGCUGGCUACCCUGGAGAGCUAAAGAAAAAACAGAGCUUUUGAGAAGAAUCCUUGUAAAGAAACUGCCUAGAAUGCCCAUGCCACUACUCAGAGAAGCCUGCCCUCUUACUUGCUUUCUUCCCUUCUUUCCCUGUCUGAAUGGAAGCAUAUUUCCAUAGUGCCUGAUUAAGGUAAGGUUUACAUUUGC
RNAcentral lists this long non-coding RNA (446 nucleotides) under Struthio camelus australis. RNAcentral's name for it is "lncRNA (ENSSCUG00000015191.1)". The record is from RNAcentral. Lineage: Eukaryota; Metazoa; Chordata; Aves; Struthioniformes; Struthionidae.